UACGUAGGUGGCGAGCGUUGUCCGGAAUUACUGGGUGUAAAGGGCGUGUAGGCGGGAUUGUAAGUCAGAUGUGAAAUUCCAAGGCUCAACUUUGGAGCUGCAUCUGAAACUAUAAUUCUUGAGUGCUGGAGAGGAUAGUGGAAUUCCUAGUGUAGCGGUGAAAUGCGUAGAUAUUAGGAGGAACACCAGUGGCGAAGGCGGCUAUCUGGACAGUAACUGACGCUGAGGCGCGAAAGCGUGGGGAGCAAACAGG
RNAcentral lists this ribosomal RNA (253 nucleotides) under uncultured bacterium. Its description in RNAcentral is "partial 16S ribosomal RNA". It matches the Rfam family "Bacterial small subunit ribosomal RNA", at positions 524 to 776 of the family's 1533-position model. The record is from RNAcentral.